ACCAUCAGGCCAUCGAAACCUUCUGUGGACUGCCUCACUGAUAUGAUGUAAUGGUCAGAGCCCAGCCAAGCCUGCAAACGGCUCUGAAGACAGAGAAGAGAUUCAAGACACAUUUAGGCGAAGAGUAAAAAAAGCAGACUGUCUCAACAGUCAGGGUCAACCAAGGACAGCAGACACAGCUGCCUGGCACAGUGUAGGCUCAGCAAUGUCAGCAACACCAAUGUAGCAAGGUGCAUGGUGGUCCUGAACGCAGCAUCCAGCAUCAUCAGCUUCCACGGCUCCUGGAUGGCAUCAGGCAGCGGGGUGUAAACAUAAUAAGCCACAGCCACCGUCAGUAACAGUGUAACAACCACCGGCAG
Long non-coding RNA from Epinephelus moara (kelp grouper), 359 nucleotides. RefSeq lists it as uncharacterized. The transcript has 3 exons. Lineage: Eukaryota; Metazoa; Chordata; Actinopteri; Perciformes; Serranidae. The record is from RefSeq and is a predicted model, not a curated record.